This 255-nucleotide ribosomal RNA is filed under the name uncultured bacterium. Its description in RNAcentral is "partial 16S ribosomal RNA". It matches the Rfam family "Bacterial small subunit ribosomal RNA", at positions 99 to 354 of the family's 1533-position model. The record is from RNAcentral.
CGGACGGGUGAGUAACGCGUGGGUAACCUGCCUCAUACAGGGGGAUAACAGUUAGAAAUGACUGCUAAUACCGCAUAAGCGCACAGGGACACAUGUUCCGGUGUGAAAAACUCCGGUGGUAUGAGAUGGACCCGCGUCUGAUUAGCUGGUUGGCGGGGUAACGGCCCACCAAGGCGACGAUCAGUAGCCGACCUGAGAGGGUGACCGGCCACAUUGGGACUGAGACACGGCCCAAACUCCUACGGAAGGCAGCAG